GAUGAACGCUGGCGGCGUGCCUAAUACAUGCAAGUCGAGCGAACGGACGAGAAGCUUGCUUCUCUGAUGUUAGCGGCGGACGGGUGAGUAACACGUGGAUAACCUACCUAUAAGACUGGGAUAACUUCGGGAAACCGGAGCUAAUACCGGAUAAUAUUUUGAACCGCAUGGUUCAAAAGUGAAAGACGGUCUUGCUGUCACUUAUAGAUGGAUCCGCGCUGCAUUAGCUAGUUGGUAAGGUAACGGCUUACCAAGGCAACGAUGCAUAGCCGACCUGAGAGGGGGGUCGGCCCCCCUGGAACUGAGGCCCGGUCCCGCGCUCCUCGGGGGGGCGCCGGAGGGAAUCUUUCGCAAUGGGCGAAAGCCCGGCGGGGCAACGCCGGCGUAGGUAUGAAGGGCUUUCGAUCCUUAAACCCUGUUUUUAGGGAAGAACAUAUGUGUAAGUAACUGUGCACAUCUUGACGGUACCUAAUCAGAAAGCCACGGCUAACUACGUG
Molecule: ribosomal RNA, 497 nt
Filed under: uncultured bacterium
Lineage: Bacteria
Description: partial 16S ribosomal RNA
Rfam family: Bacterial small subunit ribosomal RNA
Source: RNAcentral